AAAAAAGUAGGAUGAUGUUUAAUUUGAUAGCAGCGUCACUGCAAACUAUAGGAACAUUUUGUUCAUUGUCAUUGGGUGAACCGUUGGUUCAUCAGUAUAAUAAGUGAGUU
Panicum virgatum (switchgrass) is the source of this 110-nucleotide small nucleolar RNA. RefSeq annotates it as small nucleolar RNA snoR74. The record is from RefSeq and is a predicted model, not a curated record. NCBI's taxonomy places the organism in Eukaryota, Viridiplantae, Streptophyta, Magnoliopsida, Poales, Poaceae. The transcript has a single exon.